GCGGUUGUAGCUCAGUUGGUUAGAGCGCAGGUUUGUGGCACCUGAGGUCGGAGGUUCGAGACCCCCCCAACCGUACCA
This 78-nucleotide transfer RNA is filed under the name Rhizobium leguminosarum bv. viciae. RNAcentral's name for it is "tRNA-His". It matches the Rfam family "tRNA". From Rfam's summary of the family: Transfer RNA (tRNA) molecules are approximately 80 nucleotides in length. Their secondary structure includes four short double-helical elements and three loops (D, anti-codon, and T loops). The record is from RNAcentral. Lineage: Bacteria; Pseudomonadati; Pseudomonadota; Alphaproteobacteria; Hyphomicrobiales; Rhizobiaceae. RNAcentral also lists the same sequence under 2 other names.